This 750-nucleotide ribosomal RNA is filed under the name uncultured bacterium. Its description in RNAcentral is "bacterial SSU rRNA". It matches the Rfam family "Bacterial small subunit ribosomal RNA", at positions 49 to 789 of the family's 1533-position model. The record is from RNAcentral.
ACAUACAAUGCAGUCGAGGGGCAGCGGGUAAGUAGCUUGCUACUUAUGCCGGCGACCGGCGGACGGGUGCGUAACGCGUAUGUAACCUACCUUUGACAGGGGGAUAACAUCGAGAAAUUGGUACUAAUACCCCAUAACAUCACCGGAGGCAUCUUCGGUGGUUGAAAACUCAGGUGGUCAGAGAUGGACAUGCGGUGUAUUAGCUAGUUGGUGAGGUAACGGCUCACCAAGGCGACGAUACAUAGGGGGACUGAGAGGUCAACCCCCCACAUUGGUACUGAGACACGGACCAAACUCCUACGGGAGGCAGCAGUGAGGAAUAUUGGUCAAUGGACGCAAGUCUGAACCAGCCAUGCCGCGUGCAGGAAGACGGCUCUAUGAGUUGUAAACUGCUUUUGUACGAGGGUAAAUCCCGAUACGUGUAUCGGGUUGAAAGUACCGUACGAAUAAGGAUCGGCUAACUCCGUGCCAGCAGCCGCGGUAAUACGGAGGAUUCAAGCGUUAUCCGGAUUUAUUGGGUUUAAAGGGUGCGUAGGCGGUUCGAUAAGUUAGAGGUGAAAUCCCGGGGCUCAACUCCGGCACUGCCUCUGAUACUGUCGGGCUAGAGUUUAGUUGCGGUAGGCGGAAUGUAUGGUGUAGCGGUGAAAUGCAUAGAGAUCAUACAGAACACCGAUUGCGAAGGCAGCUUACCAAACUACGACUGACGUUGAGGCACGAAAGCGUGGGGAGCAAACAGGAUUAGAUACCCUG